This 526-nucleotide ribosomal RNA is filed under the name uncultured bacterium. Its description in RNAcentral is "bacterial SSU rRNA". It matches the Rfam family "Bacterial small subunit ribosomal RNA", at positions 19 to 518 of the family's 1533-position model. The record is from RNAcentral.
CUGGCUCAGGACGAACGCUGGCGGCGUGCCUAAUACAUGCAAGUCGAACGGUCUUUCUAUGGAAGCUUGCUUCCACUGAGAAGAUAGUGGCGAACGGGUGAGUAACACGUGGGUAACCUGCCCAUAAGAGGGGGGAUAACAUCCGGAAACGGGUGCUAAUACCGCAUAGUUUCUUGAUCGCAUGAUCGGGAAAGGAAAGACGGCCUUUGUGCUGUCGCUUAUGGAUGGACCCGCGGCGUAUUAGUUAGUUGGUGAGGUAACGGCUCACCAAGACGAUGAUACGUAGCCGACCUGAGAGGGUGAUCGGCCACAUUGGGACUGAGACACGGCCCAAACUCCUACGGGAGGCAGCAGUAGGGAAUCUUCCGCAAUGGACGAAAGUCUGACGGAGCAACGCCGCGUGAGUGAAGAAAGGUUUUCGGAUCGUAAAACUCUGUUGUCAGAGAAGAACAAGUUGGAGAGUAACUGCUCCAGCCUUGACGGUAUCUGACCAGAAAGCCACGGCUAACUACGUGCCAGCCGCUGC